UACGGGGGGGGCAAGCGUUGUUCGGAAUUACUGGGCGUAAAGGGCUCGUAGGCGGCCAACUAAGUCAGACGUGAAAUCCCUCGGCUUAACCGGGGAACUGCGUCUGAUACUGGAUGGCUUGAGAUUGGGAGAGGGAUGCGGAAUUCCAGGUGUAGCGGUGAAAUGCGUAGAUAUCUGGAGGAACACCGGUGGCGAAGGCGGCGUUCUGGACUGCAACUGACACUGAGGAACGAAAGCCAGGGGAGCAAACGGG
This 253-nucleotide ribosomal RNA is filed under the name uncultured bacterium. Its description in RNAcentral is "partial 16S ribosomal RNA". It matches the Rfam family "Bacterial small subunit ribosomal RNA", at positions 524 to 776 of the family's 1533-position model. The record is from RNAcentral.